AUGGUAAUUAAUUUAAAACGUACUUCCCCCUGUCCCUGCCUCGCGUCGGCACUAGACGUGGUUGUUUCAUGGCAGCUGUGGUCAGGAAGGUCUCUCGAGGUCCCCCUCCAGGACAAUGAUGUAUUUAAGUCCCCUAAGAGGUCAGAUGGUCUCUGUCCAGAACAUCACCUGCAAUCAAUAGUGUUGGUAAACCAGGCUCAACUGAGUGGCCAUGAAGACUCCCCUUAUAAACACGCUCACAGAGAGGCCGGCAUGGCCCAUUGCUUUGCUAAAACCGCAACCAACAUCCUGACACACACAUACACACACACGCAACACAUGCCACCACUCUGAAAACAAGUGUUGAUGACAAAGAGAAGAAAAAUAACAGCACCUCAGCGCCAUACUCUUUGCAUUCAGCAUCACUCUGUCAUAGGAAAGGUUGCACAUUCUCCUUAACGCACAGGUGAAUUGGGUGCACUGCUUCAAUCAAGGCUUCACUAUUGGGUUUGAGAGUCAUCUUAGCCCAGACAACAAAAGCAAACGCUACAGUGAGUGUCUCUACUGUAAGUGGCUUUUGAAGAAUUGGCACAGUCAUCUGGCGAACACCUCACAUCUCUCACAAACAAAUGAAGGCCUGGUGCUUCAAAGUGAGAUUGAUAUCUCUCUCUGAACUUCAACCAGAAUAUUCUGAAUAUUGAGAGAGGUGCACUCCUCCCACGGGACCGCCUAGGCGCCUCUCUCCUCCCUCGUUCCGCCAAAGAGGGGGAAAAAGAUUGCCCCUGAUCUUCCAUGUUCAUCAAUAUUCACUCAUUCAUCGUGAGCCAUGGCAGCUGAAAUUUGGCCUACUAUUGCUGAAUGGAUGACCCAGGGAUCCACUGUGUUGUCAUGAGGUUGUCUGCAAUUGAGAUUUAGGGUUAAAACAGAACAAUACACAAUUUUUAUGAAAUUCAGACUCAUCUACAUAUUUUAUGUUGUGACAGAAAACUUUUCAAUUUGCUCUGCAAGUUCUUAAGAUUACCCAGCCAUUUAAUAAGCCUAGAAUAGAUGUAUCUACUUGUUCUGCUUUCUGUUUGCCAAAUAUUAAAUUGUUUUUCCCUUUCUGUUUUUACUUAGAAAUAUUUUUCAAAUAAAAUAAAGGAAACUACUGCA
Molecule: long non-coding RNA, 1131 nt
Organism: Cyprinus carpio (common carp)
Lineage: Eukaryota; Metazoa; Chordata; Actinopteri; Cypriniformes; Cyprinidae
Source: Ensembl